This 434-nucleotide ribosomal RNA is filed under the name uncultured Blautia sp. RNAcentral describes it as "partial 16S ribosomal RNA". It matches the Rfam family "Bacterial small subunit ribosomal RNA", at positions 341 to 792 of the family's 1533-position model. Lineage: Bacteria; Bacillati; Bacillota; Clostridia; Lachnospirales; Lachnospiraceae. The record is from RNAcentral.
ACGGGAGGCAGCAGUGGGGAAUAUUGCACAAUGGGGGAAACCCUGAUGCAGCGACGCCGGGUGAAGGAAGAAGUAUCUCGGUAUGUAAACUUCUAUCAGCAGGGAAGAUAAUGACGGUACCUGACUAAGAAGCCCCGGCUAACGACGUGCCAGCAGCCGCGGUAAUACGUAGGGGGCAAGCGUUAUCCGGAUUUACUGGGUGUAAAGGGAGCGUAGACGGAGAAGCAAGUCUGAUGUGAAAGGCAUGGGCUCAACCUGUGGACUGCAUUGGAAACUGUUUUUCUUGAGUGCUGGAGGGGUAAGCGGAAUUCCUAGUGUAGCGGUGAAAUGCGUAGAUAUUAGGAGGAACACCAGUGGCGAAGGCGGCUUACUGGACGGUAACUGACGUUGAGGCUCGAAAGCGUGGGGAGCAAACAGGAUUAGAUACCCUGGUA